Molecule: ribosomal RNA, 274 nt
Filed under: uncultured bacterium
Lineage: Bacteria
Description: partial 16S ribosomal RNA
Rfam family: Bacterial small subunit ribosomal RNA
Source: RNAcentral
AUACGGAGGGUGCAAGCGUUAAUCGGAAUUACUGGGCGUAAAGCGUACGUAGGCGGUUCGUUAAGUUAGAUGUGAAAGCCCCGGGCUUAACCUGGGAACUGCAUUUAAAACUGGCGGACUAGAGUUGAGUAGAGGGGAGUGGAAUUUCAGGUGUAGCGGUGAAAUGCGUAGAGAUCUGAAGGAACACCAGUGGCGAAGGCGACUCCCUGAACUCGAACUGACGCUGAGGUACGAAAGCGUGGGUAGCAAACGGGAUUAGAUACCCCUGUAGUCC